Molecule: unclassified non-coding RNA, 207 nt
Filed under: Hevea brasiliensis (rubber tree)
Lineage: Eukaryota; Viridiplantae; Streptophyta; Magnoliopsida; Malpighiales; Euphorbiaceae
Source: RNAcentral
UCCUGUCUUCUUUUAGUUGUUUAUAUGUACAAAUAAUUCUAUAUUAUUUUCAAUGAUUAUGUCUGGGUUCUCUCGCUCUUUCUUGAAUCUCUUGCUAAUACUAGCUGCUAUUGGCAACAUUAAAUUGUCUGCUCUGUCAAGAAUAUUUUGCUUUUAAGCCAAGCGUGUAGGUAAAAAUCUCAGUUGUUAAUGUAAUUCUUUCCCCAG